AUGGCGGAUCCUCCUCCUCCCGACCGCUGCAUCCUAAUUCCAGACGAGAUCGCCAUCUGGGAGAUCCUCGUCCGCCUGCCCCCCAAAUCUCUCAUCCGCUGUCGUGCCGUCUGCCCCGCGUGGCGCCGUGCCACCUCCACCCGCGACUUCCUCCUCGCGCACCAUGCCCGCCAGCCCACCCUCCCCAUCCUCUGCAGCUUAGAAGACAACGACGACGAUGACACGUCUCUGUACAUCACCCCCUUCGACCACCGGACAUCCGGCAAGCUCCAGCCCUUGGCGCGACUUGACGCCGCCUCGGACAUCUGUCUAAGACUAAGUGCCUCCUGUGAUGGCCUCCUCGUCCUCUCCUUCCGCAACAUGAGCUCCUUUGGCUGCCAAUUCUCCAUUUGCAACCCUGCCACUCGUCAGUAUGCUCCCCUCCCGCUGGAUUAUGGCCCUACCGUCGAGUACACAAUCUUUGGGAUCUACCCGCAUAUCCCUACCGGCGAGUACCGGCUAUUGCUUCACAGGCUCCACAUGUUGAGGUGUGAUGGCUGCUACGUCUUCUCGUUAGGCUCCGGCCAGCAGCUGAGGUACGUAGGCAGGCCCGAUCUGUGGAAACUCACAGGCUCCCCCAGAUCUGUCUUGUUCCGUGGUAGCCUGCAUUGGCACUCAUCAGGCAUCAUGGUGAUGGUAUUCGACACCACAUCUGAGUCGUUCUUGCGGAUGCGUUCUCCAGUUUUCCCUGGCUAUGCUGACCUAUAUGAUAUUGGUGACAUGCUUGGGCUAUGCAGUCAUGACAAUGAGUGGACAAGUGUUAGUAUCUGGGCACUGCAGGAUUAUGAAGGCGAGGUCUGGACCUUAAAAUACCGUGUUAAAUUACCGGUUGCAGAAAUCUGGGUCCAUGAUAAGCUCGACAGCGAUUGGGAUGUGGUGGUCGGUUCUUGGGAUGGUGAUGUGGUCCUGCUGGUUACCGUUGAUGGCGGCAACAUGCUAUUUCAGGUUGACAUCAAUGGCAAGUUGGUUGCGACUAUCUGCUGUUGCAGAGACCUCUACUCAGCUCAUCUUUGGCUCAAACAAACUCUAGUUUUGCAUACCUUCUUUCCGACACUUGAGGGGUAUGCAGUGAAUGCUUUGCCAUUUAUCUGA
This 1131-nucleotide ribosomal RNA is filed under the name Triticum aestivum (bread wheat). Its description in RNAcentral is "partial small subunit ribosomal RNA". The record is from RNAcentral. Lineage: Eukaryota; Viridiplantae; Streptophyta; Magnoliopsida; Poales; Poaceae.